Molecule: ribosomal RNA, 461 nt
Filed under: Dorylaimopsis sp.
Lineage: Eukaryota; Metazoa; Nematoda; Chromadorea; Araeolaimida; Comesomatidae
Description: SSU rRNA
Rfam family: Eukaryotic small subunit ribosomal RNA
Source: RNAcentral
GAGACGGUUCUCUAAGAGGCCCGUCAUCGGAAUGGGUACAAUUUAAAUCCUUUAACGAGGAACAAUUGGAGGGCAAGUCUGGUGCCAGCAGCCGCGGUAAUUCCAGCUCCAAAAGCGUAUAUUAAAGUUGUUGCGGUUAAAAAGCUCGUAGUUGGAUCUGCGCCUUAGGCUUGCGGUCCCCUAAAUGGGAGGUACUGCUUUGCCUGGGCUAUGGUCUCUGGUUUUCCCUUGGUGCUCUUUACCGAGUGCUCUGGGUGACUGGAAUUUUUACUUUGAAAAAAUUAGAGUGCUCAAAGCAGGCUGUCAGCCUGAAUAGUGGUGCAUGGAAUAAUGGAAUAGGACUUCGGUUCUAUUUUGUUGGUUUUCGGAGCUCGAAGUAAUGAUUAAGAGGGACAGACGGGGGCAUUCGUAUUGCGACGUUAGAGGUGAAAUUCUUGGAUCGUCGCAAGACGUACUACUGC